GUGUGUUUAAAUGGAGGUCUUUCAGUGAGGCUGCCCAAUGCAACAUGAACCUCUGAAGAAGGAGAAGCGGAGGAAGAUUAGGGUAUAAGGGGAGAGCAGUACAGACUGGACUCACUGCCCACAGAGCAGGUGUCUGCUCGAUCCUCAGGUUGUCCUUCCUUCCAACUGCAGAUCCAACUCUAGUCCUGUCCCCAGCAUCAGACCCAGUUACAGUAUCAGACCCAGUCACAGCACCAGAACACCGGAAGAGGCACGGAGGAAGAGGCACCAGACCUUCACCCGGAGCAAGCAGACCACAGGGGAGUGCAACAUUUGACCUCCACGUCUUCCUCCCCUCUGUAGAUCCAGCACCAGUCCACCACCAGACCACCAGACGAGGUGUGAAAGAGGGACCAAAAAUCACAUCUUCACCCGGAGCGAGCAGGUUGGUGGACUGGUGCUGGAUCCCCAGCACCAACCCUUGGCCUCCAGUCCCAGUCCCAGCACAAUUUCCAGUCCAGGUCCCAACAGAAGUACCAACCCAGGUUUUUCCGGUCCAAGCCACAACACCAGCACCAACCCUGAACACAGCACCGUAUUCCUUUUCCUUUCAGCCACUGCCAGCCCAGCCCAGACCCCACCCCUCCCCCAACACAAAGGCACAUUGUGGACUAACUAACUAACUGACUGAUUGACUGAUGCAAUGGACUGAAUGGACUGACAGAUUGUUCGGAUUAUUUUUUGAUUAGUUGAUUGCCUUUACUUUGCUUUUGUUUGAUUGGAUAACCAUUUGUUUUGCCUAAUUUGAAUUGAUUACUUAUUGAUUGAAUUGUUUAUUUUUCGGAAUUUAAACUUAAUGAUGGAUUGAAUUUGAACUUGUUGAACAUUUUAAACUGUAACGAAUUUUGGAAAAAACAAAUAAAAUAGAAUUACACAGCAGAAUAGAAUUACACAGC
Long non-coding RNA from Oncorhynchus tshawytscha (Chinook salmon), 935 nucleotides. Lineage: Eukaryota; Metazoa; Chordata; Actinopteri; Salmoniformes; Salmonidae. The record is from Ensembl.